This is a long non-coding RNA of Brachypodium distachyon (stiff brome), 658 nucleotides long. RefSeq lists it as uncharacterized. Lineage: Eukaryota; Viridiplantae; Streptophyta; Magnoliopsida; Poales; Poaceae. The transcript is spliced from 2 exons. The record is from RefSeq and is a predicted model, not a curated record.
UCAUUCGAUAUUUCGAUUCCUGCCUGCGUGCGCUUCCCCGCCCGCGCGGUUUAGCUUGAUUAAUUAUCAAGUUAAAACCGCACGCGUCGCGGUCAUUCGCGGUAUAGCUGUUUGCCCCUCUGUCCCCUUCAGUUCGUUUUUCUUUUCCUUGCCUUUCCGCCUGGGUGGUGGUGGCCGGGCUCGCCGGAUACCGGCUCGACGCGGCGCGUAAAAGUCAGCCGUCGCGCUCCAGCUCGGGCUGGCUACGAGCGGACGGAGAAGGCAACAAGAUAUAGCGCAUGCGCACGUCCAGGCCAUGCUAGGUUGAUUCUUGACCGAUCGAGCUGCCGAUUGCGUUGCGUGGCGUCAUUUUUGUGGUGACGAGAUGAGAAGAGCUUUGUGGCAACUGAAAAUUGAUGGAUGAAUCGGUUGGAUUGUGGUGCGGAAUUCUUUGUAUACUUAUUACUUUUGACAGUCAGAAAGUCACUCUUGGUCUGGUAGUCAUCUUUUACGGCAAAAGUAUACUUCUGCGCUCUGUAGUUGAAGGAGAGAUGGGAACCUGAGACAAAUGGGGAACGAUGCUUCUUCAUCUAAAGAAAGGUCGAGAGAGAUGGCAAAUUAAUAUUAUAUGCUCUUUGUAGUCGGCGUUACAAAGAUUAAUAAUUUUGUGGCUUAACUA